GGACUCUUUUCUGCUUUGGACCUCCUUGGAUAAGAACUCUUUCUGCUUUGUUUAAAGAAAGGAGUUUUGGAAGACAUGGAAUCUCGAAAAAAUAGCAAAAAGGAUCGCCGCAUUGUUCACUGCCUUCUGUGCCAGAAGCCUCAGGACAGCUUGCCCACCCACCUUCUCAGAACCUGCAUGAAAAAUGCUUCUCCUGAAGAAAGACAGGCAGAGGUGAAGAGAGCCAAAGAAAGUAUGAGAACCUGGACUCGCUACCAGCGCAACUGGGACUACAUGGACUUGUGCAGCAUUUUCCCUGACCAGGUCACCAGAUGGAACAUGGUCCGAAACCUGAGGGAAAGGGGCUUCUUUGUGUCUGGUGCGCCCUCUGACCAGGAUAUCGAGGAGGCAGCGGCCAGGCGGGAGAGGGCGGCUGCAACGGCCAUCAGGACAACGCGGGCCACUGUUUCUAGUACCACUCCUACUAUGGAAGCGGUGCCUGCAGUAGGCAAAAGCACUGGGGCUUCAGAAUCAUCUGAAUCCGAUGGUGGUGACGCUGGGGAUUCAACAAGUCCUUUGAUGACAAACAAGGAGAGGGAGUUGUGGCACCAAGCAUUUUGCAAAGGGCUCGAUUAUAUGUGACUGCCACAGAGAACUGAUCUGUGGUGAGGAAGGUGACGCCAUCCUAAAGGCCACACCACAAGAUACCAUGGGAUAUUUGAAUCGUUCGAGGAAGAACCCCAACGCUAAACCUCUCCACUGCAAAAUACAGUUUAGCAGUGGAGUGAAGGACACCUUGUUGCUCGUGGCAGCAAAAUACAUUGCUGUGGGUGAUGAACUCAAAUGUGAUUAUGGGGUGAAUAGGAAGUCCUUUCGUGGGGAAGGACUUGACCUUGAGUGGCUAGAUGAAUAAUUUGAACAAUCAUCUCUUCCUGGUCUGCUGUCAGAUUUAAGGAUUAUAGCAGACACUGCUUGCCUUAAGGUUUUUUGUAGAAAGAAAUAAUUCUAUAUUUUUAAUGUCAAAUUUUUAAAAUGACAAUGUAGAACAUGCUACUCUGUCACAGCUUGGAAGUUUUUAAUGAUUAUUUUUAUAUUUUGUGUCAAACAAGAUUUUUAAAGUUGUUUUACUUUGACACAAUAUGUAACUGAUGGUAAAUACUGUUGUGAACAUGUAUACUCUGUAAAUAAUAAAAAAAAAAAUUCUUCUUUUACAGAAGCUUUCUUGUCCUAAUAUCAAUCUAAAAUCGUUUCCCUACAUCAUACUGAUCCUGUCCCUGGUCACACUGGCUGUUUACACGUCUGUCUCCGAAAUCCAGGUAACAAAGCACCUCAAACAGUGCGCGCAAACCCCGCCCACAUCUGACCUGGAAACUUUUGCUUAUAGCGUGGACGUAACUUUGGCUAGCUAGCAAAGUUAGCUAACUAAUUCUCCUCCGGCGCCACAGAAUUAUUCUUUUUAAACCUACUUAACUCUCCAUUAAUGGUGUUUACGACUCAACCCGCACACCUGCCGUUACAGCCUGUUCAAUCUCCACUAACGUGAGGGAGUCAGAGCUGACGGCCAUGAUGGCUUCGACUUCAGGUUUCUCUCCAGUAUUGUCGUCCACCAAUCCAGAGUCAGAUGUGGGCUGAGCUAUGCAUACUGUUUAAGGUGUUUGAGUCCGCGUCACUGAUCUAGGAUCAUAGGGGGUGAAGUCUACUUAUUGAGUUUGAUCAUUUACAUUUAACAUUUACAUAUGGAUUUAACAUUUAGAUUUUUUUCUCCUGUUGCUUUUGGGGUGGGGGUGCAACCAGCUGCUGGAACCAAGGAAAUCUUUAAAACUGGGUGGUGAUCUCUCCACCAGGGCCAGUGGGCGAGGCCACAAAUGGCCUCACCCCCAGGCCCUAGUGAAAGAGCCCACCCCCGGCCCUAAAUCCACUGUGAAGGGGCAGGUUCCACCGCCCUGUCCCAUCACCUGCCUGGCUGCUGACAGUCUACGGCUACGACGUUCUAACACGCCUGGAGGAGUACAAGGCCAGGAUCACGUCCACCUUUGGAUCCAUCCUGAAAAUGGCUUCAACCAGGAAGGUUUUUAUCGCAUUAAACUGAUUCUGUGUCCACACACUUCUACCACAACAAAUAUAUCUCUUUCCAGGUGACAAGGAAGCUCGCCGGUACAGCCUGUGACUGACACCGUGCAACCAACGUAGAGAAGGAGUAUUGGCAGGUCCUUAUGAGGGUCCUUACUUGUUCUGGGGGCCUGUCCAUGAUGGCAGCAGCUGGACUGAUGAGACGGUACCAACUCGCCAGGGAACGUCCCCUAGGCUCACCCGUGUGGACAGGACUGCUGCCUGCAAUAGUUAGGUGUAACGACACAGAGCCGUGAGCUGUACCCAACCUUUAUUAGGCAGCUGUCACACGGCAUCUUCACAAAACAACAAAGGAGUGGCAACUCCACUGUUGGAGUGGAGGAGUCAGCAAUCCUGAUCCAGAACCUCCUGGACUCCUUUGGUGGACCUGCAGGACACAACUCUAUGAACAUCCCCUUGUUGAACGCAGCCAGCAUGGAAAGCAUAUGAACUACGCAGAUGUGCCACCUCAGCUGCAUCCAGGACCCGCCAUGUGUGCAGCUGCAGCUACUGUAUUAAUACUUAUUAUAACAAGAGGUGGUGUAAUUAGUUACUACUGAUCAAGUGACGAUAGAGAACUGAUAAAAUACUAAGCUGAAGCAAAUAAAUGAGACAGGUUUUGUUCAUUGGUCUGAAAGCCUGCCCUGUAAAUGCUUUUCUUCAUAAGUUUAUGUUUAAGUUUAUUUAACUUUUCACAACUGGAUCUCCUUAAAGUUGGACAAUAUUCCCCUUUUCUCUUAUUUGAACGUUAUUUUAAUCUCAGAUACUGUUACCGUGAUUUUACUUCUGUGCAAAUGUCUUUCUUUGUUUCUAAUUUAUUUUACGAAUGACUUUAAAUUCUUGAAAGUCUUUGUUAAAACUUUACUUUUCCGAUUAAACUUAAAACAGGGUUAAAAUGAGACUAUAGUACUACCCUCUAAAGCUGCUAACCUUAAACACUGGCUGCUGCCACCUUUGAACUUUUUCUAUAUGCACAUGGUCAAGUGUGUAAUACGGUAAUAAUAAUGACGGACUCAUGGGAAUCGCUCACUACUUAAGAAACAGUUCAGCAUCAGUUCCUACUCAUGUUGUCUGUAUUUCAAAAUAACUUGAGUCUUGAGUAAAAUUAAUAUUGUAUCCGUAUAUUCACGAUUAUGAUGAAUUAUUUGGUGAGUUUUAGCCCUGGGUCCAGUUCUCUUGUCAUUUGUCUGGUAUAAAUCCUCCAAUGGCCUAAUAAAUUGAUGUUUGUUCUCAA
RNA transcript from Betta splendens (Siamese fighting fish), 3322 nucleotides. RefSeq lists it as uncharacterized. The record is from RefSeq and is a predicted model, not a curated record. The transcript has 5 exons. NCBI's taxonomy places the organism in Eukaryota, Metazoa, Chordata, Actinopteri, Anabantiformes, Osphronemidae.